This 800-nucleotide ribosomal RNA is filed under the name uncultured bacterium. Its description in RNAcentral is "bacterial SSU rRNA". It matches the Rfam family "Bacterial small subunit ribosomal RNA", at positions 1 to 800 of the family's 1533-position model. The record is from RNAcentral.
UCGCCCUUAGAGUUUGAUCCUGGCUCAGGAUGAACGCUAGCGGCAGGCCUAAUACAUGCAAGUCGAACGGGACUAAGUAGCAAUACUUAGUUCAGUGGCGCACGGGUGCGUAACGCGUAUGCAACCUACCUUAAACUGGGGGAUAGCCUUCCGAAAGGGAGAUUAAUACCGCAUAAGAUCAUUUGAGGGCAUCUGAAGAUGAUUAAAGAUUUAUUGGUUUAAGAUGGGCAUGCGUGCCAUUAGCUAGUUGGUAGUGUAACGGACUACCAAGGCGACGAUGGCUAGGGGUUCUGAGAGGAUGAUCCCCCACACUGGUACUGAGAUACGGACCAGACUCCUACGGGAGGCAGCAGUAGGGAAUAUUGGGCAAUGGACGGAAGUCUGACCCAGCCAUGCCGCGUGCAGGAAGAAGGCCUUCUGGGUUGUAAACUGCUUUUAUAUAGGAAGAAAACACUCCUGCGGGAGAAACUGACGGUACUAUAUGAAUAAGCACCGGCUAACUCCGUGCCAGCAGCCGCGGUAAUACGGAGGGUGCAAGCGUUGUCCGGAUUUAUUGGGUUUAAAGGGUGCGUAGGCGGCCCUGUAAGUCAGUGGUGAAAGCCUCCAGCUCAACUGGAGAACUGCCAUUGAUACUGCAAGGCUUGAGUACAGACGAGGUUGGCGGAAUUGAUGGUGUAGCGGUGAAAUGCAUAGAUACCAUCAAGAACUCCGAUUGCGUAGGCAGCUAACUAGGCUGUAACUGACGCUGAGGCACGAAAGCGUGGGGAGCGAACAGGAUUAGAUACCCUGGUAGUCCACGC